This 605-nucleotide ribosomal RNA is filed under the name Kanakomyrtus prominens. RNAcentral's name for it is "eukaryotic LSU rRNA". The stretch from base 241 to 396 matches the Rfam family "5.8S ribosomal RNA". The record is from RNAcentral. Lineage: Eukaryota; Viridiplantae; Streptophyta; Magnoliopsida; Myrtales; Myrtaceae.
GAAUCCUGCCUAGCAGAAUGACCAGAGAACUCGUAACGAACUCAAUGGGGACGUGGGGAUUUUUCCCAUCGUCCCUCGACGUCGGGAACGCACGGGCGCCUAGAGCGCUCGAGCUUCUCUUGGCGGCACAACGAACCCCGGCGCGGAACGCGCCAAGAACUUGAACAAGAGAGCGAUGCUCCCAUCACCCCAGACAUGGUGCGUGCGUGGGAUGCCAUGCAAUCUCCUAUUAUUAAUAACGACUCUCGGCAACGGAUAUCUCGGCUCUCGCAUCGAUGAAGAACGUAGCGAACUGCGAUACUUGGUGUGAAUUGCAGAAUCCCGUGAACCAUCGAGUCUUUGAACGCAAGUUGCGCCCGAAGCCAUUCGGUCGAGGGCACGUUUGCCUGGGUGUCACACACGGCGUUGCCCCCAAUCUCUCGCUCUGAAUUGGGUGGGCAGGACUGGGGUGCGUAUGUUGGCCUCCCGUGACGAUUUACUCUCGGUUGGCCCAAAAUCGAGCGCUGGAGCGAUUAGCACCACGACAUUCGGUGGUUGUUUCCCAAUGAUCAAAUGUCAUGCGUGCCGCUCAUGGGAGCGCUCAAUGAAUCUACUCUUUACCCAAC